GAUGAACGCUAGCGGCAGGCCUAACACAUGCAAGUCGAGGGGCAGCACGUCUUCGGAUGGUGGCGACCGGCGCACGGGUGCGUAACGCGUAUGCAACCUACCUCUUACAGUGGGAUAGCCCAGAGAAAUUUGGAUUAAUACCGCAUAGUAUACAGAUUCAGCAUUGGGACUGUAUUAAACAUUUAUGGGUAAGAGAUGGGCAUGCGUUCUAUUAGUUAGUUGGAGUGGUAACGGCACCCCAAGACAGCGAUAGAUAGGGGCCCUGAGAGGGGGAUCCCCCACACUGGUACUGAGACACGGACCAGACUCCUACGGGAGGCAGCAGUGGGGAAUAUUGCGCAAUGGGCGAAAGCCUGACGCAGCCACGCCGCGUGAGCGAUGAAGGCCUUGGGUCGUAAAGCUCUGUGGGGGAGGAAGAAAAAGACCGGUGAAGAGCCGGCCCUGACGGUAUCCCCUUAGCAAGCACCGGCUAACUCCGUGCCA
Molecule: ribosomal RNA, 483 nt
Filed under: uncultured bacterium
Lineage: Bacteria
Description: bacterial SSU rRNA
Rfam family: Bacterial small subunit ribosomal RNA
Source: RNAcentral